CACAACGUCGGGAUUUGCCAGCAGCUCCGGCGGCGUUCCCCCGACCGACGCCAGCCACCGGAGGAACUCGCCGUCCGACAACUCGCUUCGUUUUGGACCUUUAAGCCGAGUUUCAGACUACAAGAGUAAAACAGCAUCAGUUUAGAGAAUAAUGGCAACCGGAGGAACUGAGGCCUUUAUGAACAUGAGAAUUAUGAUGAACUCACAUGUGGAGCUGAAGCUCCAGACAGGAACAUGUGGACCGGCUCCAAGUUGUGAACUUUCUUCAGAUCUUCUGCAACAGCAAAGCUGGAGAAUUUCACUCUGAUUCUCCAGAAUGAAAUCCCCGACUGCUGGAUGGAACAUACUGACUACUCAAAACUGAUCCACAUCACCCCUUCCAGUGGCUGUGAGAUGUCCCACCUG
Molecule: long non-coding RNA, 405 nt
Organism: Poeciliopsis prolifica (blackstripe livebearer)
Lineage: Eukaryota; Metazoa; Chordata; Actinopteri; Cyprinodontiformes; Poeciliidae
Exons: 3
Source: RefSeq, a predicted model, not a curated record